CCUACGGGAGGCAGCAGUGGGGAAUUUUGGACAAUGGGCGCAAGCCUGAUCCAGCAAUGCCGCGUGAGUGAAGAAGGCCUUCGGGUUGUAAAGCUCUUUUGUCAGGGAAGAAACGGUGGAGGCUAAUAUCCUUUGCUAAUGACGGUACCUGAAGAAUAAGCACCGGCUAACUACGUGCCAGCAGCCGCGGUAAUACGUAGGGUGCAAGCGUUAAUCGGAAUUACUGGGCGUAAAGCGUGCGCAGGCGGUUUUGUAAGUUUGUCGUGAAAUCCCCGGGCUCAACCUGGGAAUGGCGAUGAAGACUGCAAGGCUAGAAUCUGGCAGAGGGGGGUAGAAUUCCACGUGUAGCAGUGAAAUGCGUAGAGAUGUGGAGGAACACCGAUGGCGAAGGCAGCCCCCUGGGUCAAGAUUGACGCUCAUGCACGAAAGCGUGGGGAGCAAACAGGAUUAGAUACCCUGGUAGUCCACGCCCUAAACGAUGUCUACUAGUUGUUACGGGUUUUAAAUUAACUUGGUAACGCAGCUACGACGUGAGUAGACCGCCGCGGGAGGUACGGUCGCGAGAAUAAACUAACAAUAGAGUAGACGGCGUGAGAGUGCCGACGGACGACGACGACGGGAGGAGG
This 626-nucleotide ribosomal RNA is filed under the name uncultured bacterium. RNAcentral describes it as "bacterial SSU rRNA". The stretch from base 1 to 544 matches the Rfam family "Bacterial small subunit ribosomal RNA", at positions 338 to 873 of the family's 1533-position model. The record is from RNAcentral.